RNAcentral lists this ribosomal RNA (460 nucleotides) under uncultured bacterium. Its description in RNAcentral is "partial 16S ribosomal RNA". It matches the Rfam family "Bacterial small subunit ribosomal RNA", at positions 338 to 795 of the family's 1533-position model. The record is from RNAcentral.
CCUACGGGAGGCAGCAGUGAGGAAUAUUGGUCAAUGGCCGGAAGGCUGAACCAGCCAUGCCGCGUGAAGGUCAGUGCACUAUGGGCGUUAAACUUCUUUUGUGCGGGAGCAAUAAUGGUCACGUGUGGCCAGACGAGAGUACCGUACGAAUAAGCAUCGGCUAACUACGUGCCAGCAGCCGCGGUAAUACGGGGGAUGCAAGCGUUAUCCGGAUUUAUGGGGUUGAAAGGGUGCGUAGGCUGUGAGGGAAGUCAGCGGUGAAAUUCACCCGCUCAACGGGGUGAAGUGCCAUUGAUACUGCCUUGAUGGAAUGCGGAUGCCGUGGGAGGAAUGUGUGGUGUAGCGGUGAAAUGCAUAGAUAUCACACAGAACACCGAUUGCGAAGGCAUCUCACGAAUCCGCGAUUGACGCUGAUGCACGAAAGCGUGGGUAUCAAACAGGAUUAGAUACCCCAGUAGUC